RNAcentral lists this ribosomal RNA (204 nucleotides) under uncultured bacterium. RNAcentral's name for it is "partial 16S ribosomal RNA". It matches the Rfam family "Bacterial small subunit ribosomal RNA", at positions 524 to 725 of the family's 1533-position model. The record is from RNAcentral.
UACGGAGGGUGCGAACGUUUGUUCCGGAAUUACUGGGCGUAAAGCGCGUGUAGGCGGCAGGGCAUGUCGGAUGUGAAAUCCCGUGGCUCAACCACGGAAGUGCACCCGAAACUGCCCAGCUGGAGUCUCGGAGAGGAAGGCGGAAUGCUUGGUGUAGAGGUGAAAUUCGUAGAUAUCAAGCGGAACACCGGUGGCGAAGGCGGC